GACGAACGCUGGCGGCGUGCCUAAUACAUGCAAGUCGAGCGAGCGGAACUAACAGAUUUACUUCGGUAGUGACGCUAGGAAAGCGAGCGGCGGAUGGGUGAGUAACCCGUGGUGAACCUGCCCCAUAGUCUGGGAUACCACUUGGAAACAGGUGCUAAUACCGGAUAAGAAAGCAGAUCGCAUGAUCAGCUUUUAAAAGGCGGCGUAAGCUGUCGCUAUGGGAUGGCCCGGCGGUGCAUUAGCUAGUUGGUAAGGUAAAGGCUUACUAAGGGGAUGAUGCACAGCCGAGGGGAGAGACGGAUCGGCGACAUUGGAACUGAGACACGGCCCAAACGCCUACGGGAGGCAGCAGUAGGGAACCGGACACAAUGGUCGCAAGUCUGACGGAGCAACGCCGCGUGAGAUAAGAAGGUGUUCGGAGCGUAAAGACCUGUUGUGGGUGAAGAAGGAUAGUGGUAGGAACUGGCGUGUAUGUGACGGUAAUCAACCAGAAAGUCACGGCUAACUACGUG
This 512-nucleotide ribosomal RNA is filed under the name uncultured bacterium. RNAcentral's name for it is "partial 16S ribosomal RNA". It matches the Rfam family "Bacterial small subunit ribosomal RNA", at positions 28 to 507 of the family's 1533-position model. The record is from RNAcentral.